RNAcentral lists this ribosomal RNA (517 nucleotides) under uncultured bacterium. Its description in RNAcentral is "partial 16S ribosomal RNA". It matches the Rfam family "Bacterial small subunit ribosomal RNA", at positions 29 to 523 of the family's 1533-position model. The record is from RNAcentral.
AACGAACGCUGGCGGCGUGCCUAACACAUGCAAGUCGAACGGAGAUAAGGGGCUUGCUCCUUAUUUUAGUGGCGCACGGGUGAGUAACGCGUAGAUAAUCUGCCUGAUGAUCUGGGAUAACAGUUCGAAAGGACUGCUAAUACCGGAUAAGCCCACGGGGUCUUUGGACUCUGCGGGAACAGGAGGGGACUUUCGGGCCUUCCGUCAUCAGAUGAGUCUGCGUACCAUUAGCUAGUUGGUAGGGUAAAGGCCUACCAAGGCGACGAUGGUUAGCUGGUCUGAGAGGAUGAUCAGCCACACUGGAACUGAGACACGGUCCAGACUCCUACGGGAGGCAGCAGUGGGGAAUUUUGCGCAAUGGGGGAAACCCUGACGCAGCAACGCCGCGUGAGUGAUGAAGGCCCUUGGGUCGUAAAGCUCUGACAGAGGGAAAGAAAUGUGGGUGGCUAAUAUCCAUACCACUUGGCGGUACCCUCAAAGGAAGCACCGGCUAACUCCGUGCCAGCAGCCGCCGUAA